This 206-nucleotide long non-coding RNA is filed under the name Gossypium raimondii (Peruvian cotton). RNAcentral's name for it is "long non-coding RNA (GRAI_LNC002994)". Lineage: Eukaryota; Viridiplantae; Streptophyta; Magnoliopsida; Malvales; Malvaceae. The record is from RNAcentral.
AUCCUUCGCCCACUGGGUCGGGUCGUCGGGUUGGAGGCCAAUCUAGGUCAGUAUGGCGUCAUUUUGGAGCCACAGAUCAGACUCCAAACGGCCCCGUUUAGACAUCCCUUGAGAAACAAAAAUAAAAGUAAAAAUAAACCCUAAAAGCUGUUCAGCCAUCCACAAAAAAAGAUAAAGAAAAGAAAUUCUUUGUUCCCCCCUCUCCC